UCCCGUUGAUCCUGCGGGAGGUCGCUGCUAUUAGAGUUCGACUAAGCCAUGCAAGUCUGGGGUUCUUCGGGGCACCGGCAAAAUGCUCAGUAACACGUCGGUAAUCUGCCCUUUGGUCAGGGAUAACCUCGGGAAACUGAGGCUAAUACCUGGUAUGAGAUUUCUUCUGGAAUGAUUUAUCUCUGAAACAUUAGGCUAUUGGAUGAGCCGGCGGCGGAUUAGUUUGUUGGUGAGGUAAUGGCUCACCAAGGCUAUGAUCCGUAGGGGCCUUGAAAGAGGUAGCCUCGAGAAGGACACUGAGAUACUGGUCCUAGCCCUACGGGGUGCAGCAGGCGCGAAACCUUUACAAUGCACGCAAGUGUGAUAAGGGGACUCUAAGUGCUCAUGCUUUGCAUGGGCUUUUGCCAAGAGUAAAUACCUUGGCGAAUAAGUGGUGGGAAAGACUGGUGCCAGCAGCCGCGGUAACACCAGCGCCACGAGUGGGGACCAUGUUUAUUGGGUCUAAAGCGUCCGUAGCCUGUUUAGUAAAUCCUUUGUGAAAUCGUUUGGCUCAACCAAACGGCGUGCAGAGGAGACUGCUAAGCUUGGGACCAAGAGGGGCCAGAAGUAUGCCUUGGGGAGCGGUAAAAUGCUAUAAUCCUUGGUAGACUACCUGUGGCGAAGGCGUCUGGCUAGAAUGGAUCUGACGGUGAGGGACGAAAGCUAGGGGAGCGAACCGGAUUAGAUACCCGAGUAGUCCUGGCUGUAAACGUUGCGAGCUAGGUGUUGUGCAUUUUACGUGAAUGUGCAGUAUCGUAGCGAAGGCGAUAAGCUCGCCACCUGGGAAGUACGGUCGCAAGGCUGAAACUUAAAGGAAUUGGCGGGGGAGCACUACAAGGGUGCGGCGUGCGGUUCAAUCUAACUCCACACAGAGAAUCUCACCAGCAGCGACGGCAGGAUGAAAGUCAGAUUAAAGGUUUUACUUGACGAGCCGAGAGGUGCUGCAUGGCCGCCGUCAGCUCGUGCCGCAAGGUGUCCAGCUAAGCCUGGUAACGAGCGAGACCUGUAUCUACAAUUGCUAAUGGGUCCUUUAGGAUGACCAUGCACAUUGUAGAGACUGCCUCUGUAAGGGGAGGAAGGUGCAGGCAACGGUAGGUCUGUAUGGCCCGAAUCUGCUGGGCUACACGCGCGCAACAAUGGUAGGGACAAUGGGAUGCGACUCCGAAAGGAGAAGCUAAUCCUCUAAACCCUAUCCAAGUACAGAUCGAGGACUGUAACUCGUCCUCGUGACGAUGGAAUCCCUAGUAAUCGGAUGUCAUCAGCGUCCGGUGAAUAUGUCCCUGCUCCUUGCACACACCGCCCGUCAAAC
Molecule: ribosomal RNA, 1348 nt
Filed under: metagenome
Description: bacterial SSU rRNA
Rfam family: Archaeal small subunit ribosomal RNA
Source: RNAcentral